This 292-nucleotide ribosomal RNA is filed under the name uncultured bacterium. Its description in RNAcentral is "partial 16S ribosomal RNA". The record is from RNAcentral.
GGACUACUGGGGUAUCUAAUCCCAUUCGCUCCCCUAGCUUUCGUUCCUCAGCGUCAGUAACAGCCCAGCGAGUCGCUUGCGCCACCGGUGUUCUUCCCAAUAUCUACGCAUUUCACCGCUACACUGGGAAUUCCACUCGCCUCUACUGCACUCGAGUCUGCCAGUAUCCAAUGCACUCCCGGAGUUGAGCCCCGAUCUUUAACACCAGACUUAACAAACCGCCUACGAACUCUUUACGCCCAAUAAAUCCGGACAACGCUCGCAUCCUACGUCUUACCGCGGCUGCUGGCAC